This 70-nucleotide transfer RNA is filed under the name Dipodomys ordii (Ord's kangaroo rat). It matches the Rfam family "tRNA". Rfam says of the family: Transfer RNA (tRNA) molecules are approximately 80 nucleotides in length. Their secondary structure includes four short double-helical elements and three loops (D, anti-codon, and T loops). The record is from Rfam by way of RNAcentral. Lineage: Eukaryota; Metazoa; Chordata; Mammalia; Rodentia; Heteromyidae.
GGGAAUGUGGCUCAAUGGUAGAGUGCCUGCCUAGCAUGCAUGAAGCCCUGGGUUCGAUUCCUCAGUACCA